AGUGAACGCUGGCGGUAGGCCUAACACAUGCAAGUCGAACGGCAGCACAGUAAGAGCUUGCUCUUACGGGUGGCGAGUGGCGGACGGGUGAGGAAUACAUCGGAAUCUACUUUUUCGUGGGGGAUAACGUAGGGAAACUUACGCUAAUACCGCAUACGACCUACGGGUGAAAGCAGGGGAUCUUCGGACCUUGCGCGAUUGAAUGAGCCGAUGUCGGAUUAGCUAGUUGGCGGGGUAAAGGCCCACCAAGGCGACGAUCCGUAGCUGGUCUGAGAGGAGGGUCGGCCACAUGGGAAAGUGAACACCGUCCAGGCGCCUAAGGGAGGCAGCAGUGGGGAAUAUUGGACAAUGGGCGCAAGCCUGAUCCAGCCAUACCGCGUGGGUGAAGAAGGCCUUCGGGUUGUAAAGCCCUUUUGUUGGGAAAGAAAAGCAGCAGGUUAAUACCCCGCUGUUCUGACGGUACCCAAAGAAUAAGCACCGGCUAACUUCGUG
Molecule: ribosomal RNA, 492 nt
Filed under: uncultured bacterium
Lineage: Bacteria
Description: partial 16S ribosomal RNA
Rfam family: Bacterial small subunit ribosomal RNA
Source: RNAcentral